Molecule: ribosomal RNA, 725 nt
Filed under: uncultured Pantoea sp.
Lineage: Bacteria; Pseudomonadati; Pseudomonadota; Gammaproteobacteria; Enterobacterales; Erwiniaceae
Description: bacterial SSU rRNA
Rfam family: Bacterial small subunit ribosomal RNA
Source: RNAcentral
GGAUUAGAUACCCUGGUAGUCCACGCCGUAAACGAUGUCGACUUGGAGGUUGUUCCCUUGAGGAGUGGCUUCCGGAGCUAACGCGUUAAGUCGACCGCCUGGGGAGUACGGCCGCAAGGUUAAAACUCAAAUGAAUUGACGGGGGCCCGCACAAGCGGUGGAGCAUGUGGUUUAAUUCGAUGCAACGCGAAGAACCUUACCUACUCUUGACAUGCACGGAAUUCGGCAGAGAUGCCUUAGUGCCUUCGGGAACCGUGAGACAGGUGCUGCAUGGCUGUCGUCAGCUCGUGUUGUGAAAUGUUGGGUUAAGUCCCGCAACGAGCGCAACCCUUAUCCUUUGUUGCCAGCGAUUCGGUCGGGAACUCAAAGGAGACUGCCGGUGAUAAACCGGAGGAAGGUGGGGAUGACGUCAAGUCAUCACGGCCCUUACGAGUAGGGCUACACACGUGCUACAAUGGCGCAUACAAAGAGAAGCGACCUCGCGAGAGCAAGCGGACCUCACAAAGUGCGUCGUAGUCCGGAUCGGAGUCUGCAACUCGACUCCGUGAAGUCGGAAUCGCUAGUAAUCGUGGAUCAGAAUGCCACGGUGAAUACGUUCCCGGGCCUUGUACACACCGCCCGUCACACCAUGGGAGUGGGCUGCAAAAGAAGUAGGUAGCUUAACCUUCGGGAGGGCGCUUACCACUUUGUGAUUCAUGACUGGGGUGAAGUCGUAACAAGGUAGC